This 510-nucleotide ribosomal RNA is filed under the name uncultured bacterium. Its description in RNAcentral is "partial 16S ribosomal RNA". It matches the Rfam family "Bacterial small subunit ribosomal RNA", at positions 28 to 507 of the family's 1533-position model. The record is from RNAcentral.
GACGAACGCUGGCGGCGUGCUUAACACAUGCAAGUCGAACGAAGAGCGAUGGAAGCUUGCUUCUAUCACUCUUAGUGGCGAACGUGUGAGUAACGCGUAAUCAACCUGCCCUUCAGAGGGGGACAACAGUAGGAAACGACUGCUAAUACCGCAUACGAUCUAAUCUCGGCAUCGAGGAUAGAUGAAAGGUGGCCUCUACAUGUAAGCUAUCACUUAAGGAGGGGAUUGCGUCUGAUUAGCUAGGUGGAGGGGUAACGGCCCACCAAGGCGAUGAUCAGUAGCCGGUCUGAGAGGAUGAACGGCCACAAUGGGACUGAGACACGGCCCAGACGCCUACGGGAGGCGGCAGUGGGGAAUCUUCCGCAAUGGACGAAAGUCUGACGGAGCAACGACGCGUGAGCGAUGACGGCCUUCGGGUUGUAAAGCUCGGUUAAUCGGGACGAAAGGCCUUCUUGCGAAUAGUGAGAAGGAUUGACGGUACCGGAAUAGAAAGCCACGGCUAACUACGUG